AACGAACGCUGGCGGCAUGCCUAACACAUGCAAGUCGAACGAGACCUUCGGGUCUAGUGGCGCACGGGUGCGUAACGCGUGGGAACCUGCCCUUAGGUUCGGAAUAACUCCCCGAAAGGGGUGCUAAUACCGGAUAAUGUCUUCGGACCAAAGAUUUAUCGCCUUUGGAUGGGCCCGCGUUGGAUUAGCUAGUUGGUAGGGUAAAAGCCUACCAAGGCGACGAUCCAUAGCUGGUCUGAGAGGAUGAUCAGCCACACUGGGGACUGAGACACGGCCCAGACUCCUACGGGAGGCAGCAGUGGGGAAUAUUGGACAAUGGGCGAAAGCCUGAUCCAGCAAUGCCGCGUGAGUGAUGAAGGCCUUAGGGUUGUAAAGCUCUUUUACCCGGGAUGAUAAUGACAGUACCGGGAGAAUAAGCUCCGGCUAACUCCGUG
Molecule: ribosomal RNA, 434 nt
Filed under: uncultured bacterium
Lineage: Bacteria
Description: partial 16S ribosomal RNA
Rfam family: Bacterial small subunit ribosomal RNA
Source: RNAcentral